GAAACUAACAAGGAUUCCCCUAGUAACUGCGAGUGAAGCGGGAAAAGCUCAAAUUUAAAAUCUGGCGGUCUCUGGCCGUCCGAGUUGUAAUCUAGAGAAGUAAUGCCCGUGCUGGACCGUGUAUAAGUCUCCUGGGAUGGAGCGUCAUAGAGGGUGAGAAUCCCGUCUUUGACACGGACUACCAGUGCAUUGUGGUAUGCUCUCAAAGAGUCGAGUUGUUUGGGAAUGCAGCUCAAAAUGGGUGGUAAAUUCCAUCUAAAGCUAAAUAUUGGCGAGAGACCGAUAGCGAACAAGUACCGUGAGGGAAAGAUGAAAAGAACUUUGGAAAGAGAGUUAAACAGUACGUGAAAUUGCUGAAAGGGAAACGCUUGAAGUCAGUCGCGUUGGCCAGGGAUCAGCCUUGCUUUUGCAUGGUGUACUUUCUGGUUGACGGGUCAGCAUCAAUUUUGACCGCUGGAAAAGGGCCUGGGGAAUGUGGCAGCUUCGGCUGUGUUAUAGCCCCUGGUCGCAUACAGUGGUUGGGAUUGAGGAACUCAGCACGCCGCAAGGCCGGGUUUCGACCACGUUCGUGCUUAGGAUGCUGGCAUAAUGGCUUUAAGCGACCCGUCUUGAAACACGGACCAAGGAGUCUAACAUGCCUGCGAGUAUUUGGGUGGAAAACCCAAGUGCGUAAUGAAAGUGAAAGUUGAGAUCCCUGUCGCGGGGAGCAUCGACGCCCGGACCAGAACUUUUGGGACGGAUCCGCGGUGGAGCAUGUAUGUUGGGACCCGAAAGAUGGUGAACUAUGCCUGAAUAGGGUGAAGCCAGAGGAAACUCUGGUGGAGGCUCGUAGCGAUUCUGACGUGCAAAUCGAUCGUCAAAUUUGGGUAUAGGGGCGAAAGACUAAUCGAACC
Molecule: ribosomal RNA, 893 nt
Filed under: Agaricus campestris
Lineage: Eukaryota; Fungi; Basidiomycota; Agaricomycetes; Agaricales; Agaricaceae
Description: eukaryotic LSU rRNA
Rfam family: Eukaryotic large subunit ribosomal RNA
Source: RNAcentral